Molecule: ribosomal RNA, 1353 nt
Filed under: metagenome
Description: SSU rRNA
Rfam family: Eukaryotic small subunit ribosomal RNA
Source: RNAcentral
UCUGGUUGAUCCUGCCAGUAGUGAUAUGCUUGUUUCAAAGAUUAAGCCAUGCAUGUCUAAGUAUAAGCGAACUUAUACAGUGAAACUGCGGAUGGCUCAUUAAAACAGUUUGAAUUUAUUUGAUGAAUGUAUGAGAAUACUACUUGGAUAACCGUAGUAAUUCUAGAGCUAAUACAUGCAACGACGCCCGACCGUUUCACUACGGAAGGGCUGUAUUUAUUGGAUACCAAAACCAUCCUUCCCUCGGGAAGUUUUGUUUGAUGAUUCACAAUAACUGAUCGGAUCGCCACUGUGGUGGCGACAGGUCAUUCAACAUUCUGCCCUAUCAGCUUUCGAUGGUUGUGUAGUGGACAACCAUGGCCAUAACGGGUAACGGAGAAUCAGGGUUCGAUUCCGGAGAAGGAGCUUGAGAAUUGGCUACUACAUCUAAGGAAGGCAGCAGGCGCGCAAAUUACCCAAUCCCGAUUCGGGGAGGUAGUGACAAAAAAUAACAAUACCGGGCCUUUUUGGGCUUGGUAAUUGGAAUGAGGGAGAGUUAAACGGACCAUCGAGUAUCCAUUGGAGGGCAAGUCUGGUGCCAGCAGCUGCGGUAAUACCAGCUCCAAUAGCGUAUAUUAAAGUUGUUGCAGUUAAAAAGCUCGUAGUUGGACUUGUGUGCGCUGUCCGCGGGUGGCCUGCGCCCAAAAGGGCGUUUCGGUUCGGCCCCGGUGGCGCCUUGAAAUCUGCAGCUGGGGGGACGUUGGCCUUAACUGGUCGGCGACCGCACGCCGGCUGCUCGGUUACUGUGAGAAAAUUAGAGUGUUCAAGGCAGGCAUUGGGUGCAAUUGAAUACAUUAGCAUGGAAUAAUAAAAUAUGGCUCCUGCCGUAUUUUGUUGGUUUUGACUGGUGGGAGUAAUGAUUGAUAGGGACGGUUGGGGGUGCUAGUAUUGAGCGGCCAGAGGUGAAAUUCAUGGAUUCGCUCAAGACUAACUUAUGCGAAAGCAUUCACCAAGGACGUCCUCUUUAAUCAAGAACGAAAGUUGGGGGAUCGAAGACGAUCAGAUACCGUCGUAGUCUCAACCAUAAACUAUGUCGACUUGGGAUCGGCGGUAGUUUUUUCAUUAAGACACUGUCGGGACCACGGGAGAAAUCAAAGUGUCUGGACUCUGGGGGAAGUAUGGUCGCAAGGCUGAAACUUGAAGGAAUUGACGGAAGGGCACCACCAGGAGUGGAGCCUGCGGCUUAAUUUGACCCAACACGGGGAAACUUACCAGGUCCAGAGAUGUAGAGGAUUGACAGAUUGAAGCUCUUUCUUGAUCACUUCGGUGGUGGUGCAUGGCCGUUCUUAGUUGGUGGAGUGAUUUGUCUGGUUA